Molecule: transfer RNA, 87 nt
Filed under: Burkholderiaceae bacterium
Lineage: Bacteria; Pseudomonadati; Pseudomonadota; Betaproteobacteria; Burkholderiales; Burkholderiaceae
Description: tRNA-Leu
Rfam family: tRNA
About the family: Transfer RNA (tRNA) molecules are approximately 80 nucleotides in length. Their secondary structure includes four short double-helical elements and three loops (D, anti-codon, and T loops).
Source: RNAcentral
GCCCGGGUGGUGAAAUCGGUAGACACAAGGGACUUAAAAUCCCUCGGCGGCAACGCCAUGCGGGUUCGAGCCCCGCCUCGGGCACCA